UGCGGUUAUACAAAAAUUAAAUUAAAUUUUUUUAGGAUUUAAUUAAUAAAAUUAAAUUAAUAAUUUAAAUUUUAAAUUAUAAAGUGAAAUUUUAAAUUUAAUUAAAAUUUAUUUAUUUUUAUGAUAUUAAUAAAUUUUAUAAAAAACUAGGAUUAGAUACCCUAUUAUAAAAAUUUAAAUUUAAAUAAUCUUAAAAUAGUAUAUAAUUUUUUAUAGAAACUUAAAUAAUUUGGCGGUAUUUUAGUUCAUUUAGAGGAAUCUGUCUAAUAAUUGAUAAUCCACGAUUAAAUUUACUUAAUUUUUAAUUUUGUAUAUCGUUGUUAAAAAAAUAUUUUUAAAUAAUUUUAAUAUUUUAAAAUUUAUAUAAAAAAUUAAAUCAGAUCAAGAUGCAGAUUAUAAUUAAGAAUAUGAUGGAUUACAAUAAGUUUUAUUUUAUUUGGAUAUUGAUUUGAAAUAAAUUGAUUGAAAUUGGAUUUAAAUGUAAUUUUAUUUAUUUUAAUAAAAUGAUUAAAAAUUAAAAUAUGUACAUAUUGCCCGUCGCUUUCAUUAAUAAAUUGAAAUAAGUCGUAACAAAGUAGAGGUACUGGAAAGUGUUUCUAGAAAGAU
RNAcentral lists this ribosomal RNA (606 nucleotides) under Zygaena cambysea cambysea. RNAcentral describes it as "partial 12S ribosomal RNA". The record is from RNAcentral. Lineage: Eukaryota; Metazoa; Arthropoda; Insecta; Lepidoptera; Zygaenidae.